This 148-nucleotide non-coding RNA is filed under the name Homo sapiens (human). Lineage: Eukaryota; Metazoa; Chordata; Mammalia; Primates; Hominidae. The record is from Rfam by way of RNAcentral.
GCUGGGUGUGGUGGCCUGUGCCUGUAGUCCCAGCCACUUGGGAGGCUGAGGCAGGAGAAUUGCUUGAGCCUAGGAGUCGGAGGUUGCAGUGAGCUGAGACUGCGCCACUACACUCCAGCCUGGGCAACAGAGCAAGACUCUGUCUCAA